This 76-nucleotide transfer RNA is filed under the name Methylobacillus flagellatus. RNAcentral describes it as "tRNA-Lys". It matches the Rfam family "tRNA". Rfam says of the family: Transfer RNA (tRNA) molecules are approximately 80 nucleotides in length. Their secondary structure includes four short double-helical elements and three loops (D, anti-codon, and T loops). Further hydrogen bonds mediate the characteristic L-shaped molecular structure. tRNAs have two regions of fundamental functional importance: the anti-codon, which is responsible for specific mRNA codon recognition, and the 3' end, to which the tRNAs corresponding amino acid is attached (by aminoacyl-tRNA synthetases). tRNAs cope with the degeneracy of the genetic code in two manners: having more than one tRNA (with a specific anti-codon) for a particular amino acid; and 'wobble' base-pairing, i.e. permitting non-standard base-pairing at the 3rd anti-codon position. RNAcentral also lists the same sequence under 4 other names. The record is from RNAcentral. Lineage: Bacteria; Pseudomonadati; Pseudomonadota; Betaproteobacteria; Nitrosomonadales; Methylophilaceae.
GGGCCGUUAGCUCAGUUGGUAGAGCAGCGGACUUUUAAUCCGUUUGUCGCAGGUUCGAGCCCCGCACGGCCCACCA